This is a non-coding RNA of Ictidomys tridecemlineatus (thirteen-lined ground squirrel), 69 nucleotides long. The record is from Rfam. Lineage: Eukaryota; Metazoa; Chordata; Mammalia; Rodentia; Sciuridae.
GGAGUUGUAGCUCAGUGGUAGAGCACUUACCUAGUAUAUGUGAAGCACUGGGUUCAAUUCUCAGCACCA